CUUAUCCGGAGAGAUCGAGGGAACAGGCCCGAUGACGUCCGACAACCUACUCUGUGAGCAAGGUGCCAAAUCCUGCGGUUCGACCGAAAGAUGAG
This 95-nucleotide non-coding RNA is filed under the name bovine gut metagenome. RNAcentral describes it as "SAM riboswitch (S box leader)". It matches the Rfam family "SAM riboswitch aptamer (S box leader)". From Rfam's summary of the family: The SAM riboswitch is found upstream of a number of genes which code for proteins involved in methionine or cysteine biosynthesis in Gram-positive bacteria. The SAM riboswitch acts at the level of transcription termination control. The predicted structure consists of a complex stem-loop region followed by a single stem loop terminator region. RNAcentral also lists the same sequence under 1 other name. The record is from RNAcentral.